RNAcentral lists this long non-coding RNA (424 nucleotides) under Salmo salar (Atlantic salmon). RNAcentral's name for it is "lncRNA (ENSSSAG00000104755.1)". The record is from RNAcentral. Lineage: Eukaryota; Metazoa; Chordata; Actinopteri; Salmoniformes; Salmonidae.
CUAGAGGUCAGGGGCUAGAGGUCAGGGACUAGAGGUCAGGGGCUAGAGGUCAGGGGCUAGAGGUCAGGGGCUAGAGGUCAGGGGCUAGAGGUCAGGGGCUAGAGGUCAGGGGUUGAAGGUGCUGAAUUCCUCUCCCUGUACUCCAGACAGAUACCAUCAUUCUAAACAACUAUAAAUCACUAGUCAUCAAUUAUUUACCAGGAAUCAAUACAGCUAUCAGUUCCCCCUCCUUUAUGUCUGUCAACAACUGUGUGACUAUCAUUUACAACAACACCCACACAUAAAUAUAUAUCUAUAUGAUUACAGCAACACCCACACAUAAAUAUAUAUCUAUAUGAUUACAACAACACCCACACAUAAAUAUAUAUCUAUAUGAUUACAACAACACCCACACAUAAACAUAUAUCUAUAUGAUUACAACAAC